Molecule: long non-coding RNA, 993 nt
Organism: Felis catus (domestic cat)
Lineage: Eukaryota; Metazoa; Chordata; Mammalia; Carnivora; Felidae
Exons: 5
Source: RefSeq, a predicted model, not a curated record
UUUUAUGAGAAAAAGAUCUUUGCUCUUAACAGAGCUCAGUGUCCUGCCGAUUUUUUCUCACUUCAUGUCAUAAUCUUCUGUGACAUCACAAUUAAUUCCUGUGGAGAUGAUUAUGGAGACAUAGCGAGGAUUAUGAUUUCAGGAAAGUGAUAAACAGCAGGCACAGAAUAAGGCCUUCUUUUACUUCUCAAGGAUUACCAGCUUGGUAACAGCAAAAGCCAAGAGGGGGGAGAAAAAGUGAUUUGCCAGACCCAUGGGCACAGUGGGAUACUUGUCUUCUACAUUUGUACUUCUCAUCAACCAACCAACAAACAAACACCAAAAAACUAAAGCUGUUGAAAUUGAUGAAGCAAACCACAAUGUCUCAAGCUUUAGAAAAAAUGUUCCUGGUAUAUCAAAUGGAAUAGAAAAUUCUUUGAUCUUUGGAACUCUUGUUAUCUGAUGCAACCAAGAAUCAAUAAUAAAGAAAUGGUGAAUAUUUGUUAUAAUGUCCUGAGGCUCAGCAUUAGUGACAAGGAUAUUUCUAACUACCAACUAAUAAAUGGAUCUUGAUUUAAUGAAAAUUGUGUAUUAAGGGAUCCUGUUCUGUCAACCAAAGGGGGUUCGAUUCGAUCUGUCCUGUUCAUGUCAUGAAAUGCUUCAUUUCACCUUUCCUCAAAGGAAUUGAUACCAGCUAGCCCUAGACCUCCACAAUUAAGGGGACCAGCAGGAAGCAAUCUAUUAGUGAUCGUUGGAAGGAAUAAGGAUCAGCCCCAAAAUGAGUUAAUUGAUCUUCUAGUAAGACACAGGCUUCAAAAUUGGCUGGUAGUAGGAACACCCAGGCCACCAACACCACUGAGCCACCCCAGAUGGUUGUUUCAGUGGUUGGGAACCAACCAUAAACUGAACUUGUGAGACACUUCAUCAAGAUUUCUGCACUUGAGCCGAAGAAGCUGGAGUAUUAAUUCCUCGGAUGUUUGAAUCACAAUAUGUGCAAUAAAGAAACCACCCACA